GCAAACUUGGUCAUUUAGAGGAAGUAAAAGUCGUAACAAGGUUUCCGUAGGUGAACCUGCGGAAGGAUCAUUAACAAGCCGUGAGAGGUCAACCUUCAAAAGAGGAUUUUGAUCUCGCACCUGGCCAACCUUGUUUAUCUUAACCUGUUGCUUUGGUGGGCCUUGCUGCAAGGCUGCCGGGAAGCUUUUUGUUUUCGGGAUAGUGCUCACCAAAGUCCUACUGAACUCUGGAUGAUAAACUGUUGCUGUCUGAACAAUGCAAAUGCAAAAAAUUUUUGUUAAAACUUUCAACAACGGAUCUCUUGGUUCUGGCAUCGAUGAAGAACGCAGC
RNAcentral lists this unclassified non-coding RNA (331 nucleotides) under uncultured fungus. Its description in RNAcentral is "partial contains small subunit ribosomal RNA, internal transcribed spacer 1, and 5.8S ribosomal RNA". The stretch from base 1 to 73 matches the Rfam family "Eukaryotic small subunit ribosomal RNA", at positions 1759 to 1831 of the family's 1831-position model. The record is from RNAcentral. Lineage: Eukaryota; Fungi.